AAGUCGUAACAAGGUUUCCGUAGGUGAACCUGCGGAAGGAUCAUUAACAAAUCUAAAAAUACACCAUUCAAGUAAGAAUUUAUUCAAACUUGUAAUGUAGUAUAAAACAGUAAAAUGUUUUAUACGGGAUAUCUCACAGUCUGUAAAAAGACAGUGAUACACGAUAAUUGUUGACAAUACAUUAUUGACAAAAUAAUUAACAAAACUUUUAACAAUGGAUCUCUUGGCUCUU
This 232-nucleotide unclassified non-coding RNA is filed under the name fungal sp. Its description in RNAcentral is "partial internal transcribed spacer region". The stretch from base 1 to 46 matches the Rfam family "Eukaryotic small subunit ribosomal RNA", at positions 1786 to 1831 of the family's 1831-position model. The record is from RNAcentral. Lineage: Eukaryota; Fungi.